This 22-nucleotide non-coding RNA is filed under the name Arabidopsis thaliana (thale cress). The record is from RNAcentral. Lineage: Eukaryota; Viridiplantae; Streptophyta; Magnoliopsida; Brassicales; Brassicaceae.
AUGCAAAGAGGCCGAGUUUGAU